GUGCCAGCCGCCGCGGUAAUACGGAGGAUCCGAGCGUUAUCCGGAUUUAUUGGGUUUAAAGGGUGCGCAGGCGGCUUUUUAAGUCAGCGGUAAAAUCGUGAGGCUCAACCUCAUCGUGCCGUUGAUACUGGAGAGCUUGAUUGUAUUCGAGGUUGGCGGAAUUCGCCGUGUAGCGGUGAAAUGCAUAGAUAUGGCGAAGAACUCCGAUUGCGUAGGCAGCUGACCAGGCUACAAAUGACGCUCAUGCACGAAGGUCGGGGAUCGAACAGGAUUAGAUACCCUGGUAGUCCGCACAGUAAACGAUGAAUACUUGUUUUUGGCGAUAUACAGUCAGAGACAAAGCGAAAGUGAUAAGUAUUCCACCUGGGGAGUACGCCGGCAACGGUGAAACUCAAAGGAAUUGACGGGGGCCCGCACAAGCGGAGGAACAUGUGGUUUAAUUCGAUGCUACGCGAGGAACCUUACCCGGGCUUGAAAGUUAUCGACGGAGGCUGAAAGGCCUCUUCCCUUCGGGGCGAGAAACUAGGUGCUGCAUGGUUGUCGUCAGCUCGUGCCGUGAGGUGUCGGCUUAAGUGCCAUAACGAGCGCAACCCUUUUCUCCAGUUACCAUCAUUAAGUUGGGGACUCUGGAGACACUGCCAUCGCAAGAUGUGAGGAAGGAUGGGAUGACGUCAAAUCAGCACGGCCCUUACGUCCGGGGCGACACACGUGUUACAAUGGGAAGGACAGCGAGGAACGAUGCGGCGACGCAAAGGGAAUCUUCAAACCUUCUCCCAGUUCGGAUUGGAGUCUGCAACCCGACUCCAUGAAGCUGGAUUCGCUAGUAAUCGCGCAUCAGCCAUGGCGCGGUGAAUACGUUCCCGGGCCUUGUACACACCGCCCGU
RNAcentral lists this ribosomal RNA (884 nucleotides) under uncultured bacterium. RNAcentral's name for it is "bacterial SSU rRNA". It matches the Rfam family "Bacterial small subunit ribosomal RNA", at positions 505 to 1397 of the family's 1533-position model. The record is from RNAcentral.